This 376-nucleotide ribosomal RNA is filed under the name uncultured bacterium. Its description in RNAcentral is "bacterial SSU rRNA". It matches the Rfam family "Bacterial small subunit ribosomal RNA", at positions 524 to 898 of the family's 1533-position model. The record is from RNAcentral.
UACGUAGGUGGCGAGCGUUGUCCGGAUUUACUGGGCGUAAAGGGCGUGCAGGCGGUCUGCUAAGUCUAGGGUGAAAGCUCCCGGCUCAACUGGGAGAGGUCCUUGGAUACUGACAGACUUGAGGGAGGCAGAGGAGAAUGGAAUUCCCGGUGUAGUGGUGAUAUGCGUAGAUAUCGGGAGGAACACCAGUGGCGAAGGCGGUUCUCUGGGCCUUACCUGACGCUGAGACACGAAAGCGUGGGGAGCGAACCGGAUUAGAUACCCGGGUAGUCCACGCCGUAAACUAUGAACACUAGGUGUGGGGGGUAUCGACCCCCUCCGUGCCGAAGCUAACGCAGUAAGUGUUCCGCCUGGGGAGUACGGCCGCAAGGCUAAA